Mauremys reevesii (Reeves's turtle) is the source of this 1714-nucleotide long non-coding RNA. RefSeq lists it as uncharacterized. The transcript has 6 exons. The record is from RefSeq and is a predicted model, not a curated record. NCBI's taxonomy places the organism in Eukaryota, Metazoa, Chordata, Testudines, Geoemydidae.
GGCAGGAGGAGCCUAGAAGAAAGGACUAGAGAAGCCUAGGCUUUUAGGGAGAUGAGAGAUUUCCUCCUGUGUUUAGACUCUAAGGAGAAGGGGUGAAGGAUUUGUCACUUCCCGACCCGAAUGAUGAGAAGAACAUCUCAUGGGAACUUCAUCCCCUGGAGUCUCCUUCUAUCUGUUUUAUUGCAGGAGGUGGAGCGACAUUGCUAUAGCUUGUGGGGAGUGAGGAGACAAUGGGAGGAAAUACAAUAGGGUGAUUUUAAAAAUGUCACGGAAAUUCCACUGAGAGCUAACAUCUCAUUUCCAAGGUGUCCCCUGGGAUAAAUCAGAAGGGAUAGCACUGAAAGUGAAGGCAUAGCAUACGAAAGAAAAAGAAGCAAUGUGUUUGGAGAAGAAGAUUUGAGAAUCAGCUCAUUGAAGGUGUAAGAAGAAGAGACCCCGCUGGAUCAUCAUCAACUACCUUUCCCUGCCAAUGCAGGAGACAGUCCCCUGAUGGAGGAUGCAGCAGGCACUACACUUGACCACAGCCAAUGUGCCACAUAGAUCAUUGAUAAAGAUACUGAAUGGCAUUGGACCGUGGGACCCUGUGACGGGGUGUAUCUACCACACACUGGCCCAGCAUUGUGGGCUGAGAAGGCCACACUCCUCUGUCCCUGCUGGGCAUGCUCAACCUGGAGACAAGAUCUAAGAGGAAGCAGUUCCAUUCAGUUGGUCCAGACUGCUGAGGAGGAAGGAUUGCAGGUUCCCUCACAGGAGCUGCUGGAGCCCCAGACCACAGAGGCCAGACAUUCUGAGCCCUAGACAGAUCCCCAGCUGGCUGCGGAAGCCAGAGAUGGGAUUGAGCCUUCAGGAAUUUCGCUAGUCGACGGCCCCAGAGGACCCAUGGACUAUUGCAUUGGAAGACAGGGUAGGAGGUAGCCCAGGGGAAAUCGACAUUGAUCUGGUUGUAGGAUCAGGAAAUAGGACAGUGUGUUUUGGCAGAUCCCUGCUGACCCAAUGGUGAAUACAGUUGCCACUGUCAGGGCCCUGGGUGGACCCACUGGAGUAGGGAGGGCCUAGGUCACCCUACCUCGGCCACCACCUUCCUUGGGCAACUAGGCCCCGCAACUCCACACAGGAGGGAAGCCAUAGUGACUCUGGCUGCUAGGCCACAAGCCCCACACAGGAGGGUAACUAUAGGGACUCUGGCCACUUGGUCACGCUGCCCUGAGAGCAAGGGCAGGCCCAAGGGACUCUGGCUGCUAGUCUGUACUACCCCACUUUAUAGGCUUUAGCCAGCUGAGGCAUAACCCCUCAUCGACCAUAUGCAACCUGACAUCCCAUGACAGGAUGUGUCUACCCCACGACAUACCCCACUACAAAUACCCCCAUUGGAUGAUGAUUCUCCAUUUACAAAUUACUUUUUGCAAUGUAAGAGUUAACCAGUUUUUACAUCCAUUUAACAUGGGUUACGUUGAUUUUUAUAUAGUGCUAAUUUUUUUUUUUUUUACUCAGAAUGUCAUGGACGACUAAGUUAAAUGCCUUACAGAAGUCUAAGUAUACUAUGUCAACACAGUUACCUUUCUCAAAUUCUUUUAAUACUCUGGGGUGCAAGCUAUUUGAUUCUGCAGAUUUAAAAUAGCUUAACUUUAAUAGUUGCUGUUUAACAUCCUCACUACUGAUUACUGAUGGAAUAGAAACAGUGAUAAUUAAAUCCUAAGAUAUGAAUACAUCAUCU